Molecule: ribosomal RNA, 398 nt
Filed under: uncultured bacterium
Lineage: Bacteria
Description: bacterial SSU rRNA
Rfam family: Bacterial small subunit ribosomal RNA
Source: RNAcentral
GACGAACGCUGGCGGCGUGCUUAACACAUGCAAGUCGAACGGUGAAGGAAGAGCUUGCUCUUCCGGAUCAGUGGCGAACGGGUGAGUAACACGUGGGCAACCUGCCCUGACUCUGGGAUAACUCCUCGAAAGAGGUGCUAAUACCGGAUACGACCACUUCGGACAUCCGAUGGUGGUGGAAAGUUUUUCGGUCAGGGAUGGGCCCGCGGCCUAUCAGCUAGUUGGUGGGGUAAUGGCCUACCAAGGCGACGACGGGUAGCCGGCCUGAGAGGGCGACCGGCCACACUGGGGCUGAGACACGGCCCAGACUCCUACGGGAGGCAGCAGUGGGGAAUAUUGCGCAAUGGGCGAAAGCCUGACGCAGCGACGCCGCGUGAGGGAUGAAGGCCUUCGGGUUG